GUGGGGAAUUUUGGACAAUGGGCGCAAGCCUGAUCCAGCAAUGCCGCGUGCAGGAAGAAGGCCUUCGGGUUGUAAACUGCUUUUGUACGGAACGAAACGGUCCUGGUUAAUACCUGGGGCUAAUGACGGUACCGUAAGAAUAAGCACCGGCUAACUACGUGCCAGCAGCCGCGGUAAUACGUAGGGUGCGAGCGUUAAUCGGAAUUACUGGGCGUAAAGCGUGCGCAGGCGGUGCUGUAAGACAGGCGUGAAAUCCCCGGGCUCAACCUGGGAAUUGCGCUUGUGACUGCAGUGCUGGAGUACGGCAGAGGGGGAUGGAAUUCCGCGUGUAGCAGUGAAAUGCGUAGAUAUGAGGAGGAACACCGAUGGCGAAGGCAGUCCCCUGGGCCUGUACUGACGCUCAUGCACGAAAGCGUGGGGAGCAAACAGGAUUAGAUACCCCGGUAGUCC
This 450-nucleotide ribosomal RNA is filed under the name uncultured bacterium. RNAcentral's name for it is "partial 16S ribosomal RNA". It matches the Rfam family "Bacterial small subunit ribosomal RNA", at positions 354 to 796 of the family's 1533-position model. The record is from RNAcentral.